GCGGAUGUGGCGGAAUCGGUAGACGCGCGGGUCUCAGAAGCCCGUGAGAGCAAUCUCGUGGAAGUUCAAAUCUUCUCAUCCGCACCA
Molecule: transfer RNA, 87 nt
Filed under: Aridibacter famidurans
Lineage: Bacteria; Pseudomonadati; Acidobacteriota; Blastocatellia; Blastocatellales; Blastocatellaceae
Also listed under: 3 other names
Description: tRNA-Leu
Rfam family: tRNA
About the family: Transfer RNA (tRNA) molecules are approximately 80 nucleotides in length. Their secondary structure includes four short double-helical elements and three loops (D, anti-codon, and T loops). Further hydrogen bonds mediate the characteristic L-shaped molecular structure. tRNAs have two regions of fundamental functional importance: the anti-codon, which is responsible for specific mRNA codon recognition, and the 3' end, to which the tRNAs corresponding amino acid is attached (by aminoacyl-tRNA synthetases). tRNAs cope with the degeneracy of the genetic code in two manners: having more than one tRNA (with a specific anti-codon) for a particular amino acid; and 'wobble' base-pairing, i.e. permitting non-standard base-pairing at the 3rd anti-codon position.
Source: RNAcentral